This 151-nucleotide unclassified non-coding RNA is filed under the name uncultured fungus. RNAcentral's name for it is "sequence contains ITS2". The record is from RNAcentral. Lineage: Eukaryota; Fungi.
AUCCCUUUGAUCCACUGGGUCAGACAUGGUUGCUGAUCCGUGUUGGUCAAGACAUGGACCUUCAUCAUUGAUCGUCUUGAAUUCAGGCACGGGUUGUUCGUGAGAGUGGAAGCCAUUUCUAUUGAUCGACAACCUGUUCAUCUCAUCACUU